CCUACGGGAGGCAGCAGUGAGGAAUAUUGGUCAAUGGGCGUAAGCCUGAACCAGCCAAGUCGCGUGAGGGAUGAAGGUUCUAUGGAUCGUAAACCUCUUUUAUAAGGGAAUAAAGUGCGGGACGUGUCCCUUUUUGUAUGUACAUUCUGAAUAAGGAUCGGCUAACUCCGUGCCAGCAGCUGCGGUAAUACGGCGGGUCCGAUCGUUAUCCGGUGUUAUUGGGUUUAAAGGGGGCGUAGGCGGCCUUUUAAGUUAGCGGUGAAAGUCUGUGGCUCAACCAUAGAAUUGCCGUUGAAACUGGGAGGCUUGAGUAUGUUUGAGGCAGGCGGAAGGCGUGGUGUAGCGGUGAAAUGCUUAGAUAUCACGCAGAACCCCGAUUGCGAAGGCAGCCUGCCAAGCCAUGACUGACGCUGAUGCACGAAAGCGUGGGGAUCAAACAGGAUUAGAUACCCUAGUAGUC
This 460-nucleotide ribosomal RNA is filed under the name uncultured bacterium. Its description in RNAcentral is "partial 16S ribosomal RNA". It matches the Rfam family "Bacterial small subunit ribosomal RNA", at positions 338 to 795 of the family's 1533-position model. The record is from RNAcentral.